This 117-nucleotide small nuclear RNA is filed under the name Prolemur simus (greater bamboo lemur). RNAcentral describes it as "U5 spliceosomal RNA (ENSPSMG00000024333.1)". It matches the Rfam family "U5 spliceosomal RNA". From Rfam's summary of the family: U5 RNA is a component of both types of known spliceosome. The precise function of this molecule is unknown, though it is known that the 5' loop is required for splice site selection and p220 binding, and that both the 3' stem-loop and the Sm site are important for Sm protein binding and cap methylation. Lineage: Eukaryota; Metazoa; Chordata; Mammalia; Primates; Lemuridae. The record is from Rfam by way of RNAcentral.
ACACUCUGCUUUCUCUUCAAAAGGAAUAAAUCUUUCUCCUUUUACUAAAGAUUUCCACGGAGAGGAACAGUUACGAGUUGGUAACCAAAUUUUUUGAGGUAUUGCUCAGGCAAGGCU